AAAGUUCUGUUGUUAGGGAAGAACAAGUSCCGUGMGAAUAGAGCGGCACCUUGACGGUACCUAACGAGGAAGCCCCGGCUAAYUACGUGCCAGCAGCCGCGGUAAUACGUAGGGGGCAAGCGUUGUCCGGAAUUAUUGGGCGUAAAGCGCGCGCAGGCGGUUCCUUAAGUCUGAUGUGAAAGCCCACGGCUCAACCGUGGAGGGUCAUUGGAAACUGGGGAACUUGAGGACAGAAGAGGAGAGUGGAAUUCCACGUGUAGCGGUGAAAUGCGUAGAUAUGUGGAGGAACACCAGUGGCGAAGGCGACUCUCUGGUCUGUUUCUGACGCUGAGGUGCGAAAGCGUGGGUAGCAAACAGGAUUAGAUACCCUGGUAGUCCACGCCGUAAACGAUGAGUGCUAGGUGUUAGGGGGCUUCCACCCCUUAGUGCUGAAGUUAACGCAUUAAGCACUCCGCCUGGGGAGUACGGCCGCAAGGCUGAAACUCAAAGGAAUUGACGGGGGCCCGCACAAGCGGUGGAGCAUGUGGUUUAAUUCGAAGCAACGCGAAGAACCUUACCAGGUCUUGACAUCCUUGGACCACCCUAGAGAUAGGGCUUUCCCUUCGGGGACCAARUGACAGGKGGUGCAUGGUUGUC
RNAcentral lists this ribosomal RNA (636 nucleotides) under Halobacillus sp. Its description in RNAcentral is "bacterial SSU rRNA". It matches the Rfam family "Bacterial small subunit ribosomal RNA", at positions 427 to 1053 of the family's 1533-position model. Lineage: Bacteria; Bacillati; Bacillota; Bacilli; Caryophanales; Bacillaceae. The record is from RNAcentral.